AGACUGGACGGAACAAAGCAGCAAAAGAAAUAAAAUGAAACCAUGUUAUCAUUGGCUACCCUUUAAACAUACGAAAAACUCUCAGAAGAGAUAAUCUACAGUAGGGAACAGUGCUGUGCUGGCACAGGGUGUACAGGAUGACCUAAUGGGUCUUUUCCAUCUCUAAUUCCUGUGAUACUGAAGAUCUAAGAGAUGGAGCCAGUAAUUGCUUACAACAUAACAGAUUCCUCACUCUCUCUCCUUUUUUUUUCCCUCCCUUCCCUAGAGUUCAGCAGAGAAUCUCUUAAAAUAAAUAAAAACUGUGAGAAACUAAGAGAAGUCAGGGACUGGCCCACUUUUCAGAGGCAGAAUGUGGAAAGUAUGAAACGCUGAUUUGACUCUGAAGGCUGGAAGGCAGAGGGCCUGAGCCGUUUAUACUACAUGCAGUAGUUUAAAAAGGAAAAAAAAAAAACUUGAAAAAAUGGGUGUAACCCUGGGCUUUGAUACAACUGGCCUUUCAGCCCCCACUUGAGAUUUGCACAUCCCCAAGGGAAGCUGUGGUUUGGAAUAAGAUCGUGCAUUUAAUUUCACUCAGGGAACUUAUUGGACUUGGCACCAAAAGAAAGAAUUUGCAGUAUAUUUUUUGUCAUGAUUAGUGGCCCCCCUCACCACAACAUUUGAUUAUUUUGGAAAGGGAAAAGUUAAAUCCUUGUAAAGUUGUGAUUUACAAUUUUCGAGCAUCCAGGUAGGGAGCAUGACUUCUGCCAGCUUGAUCAUGGGAUCCACAUUUUAUUCUAGCUCAUUGAUGUGAGAAAACAAAACAGUUCUGUGGGGGAAAAUAGACUUGGAAAUAUAUCCCUUGAUUAUCCUGGGAGAUUUUCUCUCCACGCUACAUCUUCUCAGUCGCAUUGAUUUUGGUAUCCGCUGGAACUUGCAGCAAGAAACUAGCACGCGGCUGGUUUACUUUUCAUUUCUAAUCUCUAGUGUCUGGUUUUUUUGUUUUUAUCAUUUGAUUUCUUUGCCCUCACGUUUAUGUAAAUCUUGAGGCAAAGGAGUUAAAAAGAGGUUCUUAUUUUAUACCUGAAAUGAACUUUCGCUGGACAUUUUUUUCUCGAGCUUUGUAAUUAAGAUUGGAGAUCUUGUGGGUAUUUUAAUACGUAUGUCCAAAUAGCCCAAGGCAAAGGGAAUGACCAACUGUGUAGCUGAUGAAUAUUUUCCUGGUAGAUGUACAACAACUUUCCCCACAACCGUGAUGCUUUAUCCUUUGACAUUGAGAAUGCUGUUUGCAGAAGCAACAUUCCUUUGAACACGCAGCUUUCUGAAAUGGUGUCCCGCCGCAAGGACUCAAGUAGGUGUGCCUUGCAAUGACAGAAGACAGCAUGAUGAGGGGAAGUUAAAGAAGUAAGAAAAUUGGAAUUUAGAAUGUCAACAUCUUGAGACUAUAAGCCCCACGUGAGCAGAGAUGUCUGUCUUCCUUGUUCAGUGGUACACCUCAAGUGCCUGGAAUAUUGCACUCAUACUCAGCAAAAGAGACUAAGAGGCCCUGUGACUCCUGGAUUCAUCAGGGAGAAGAGAUUUCGGUUGGUUCCUUAAACAGAAAUGAGAACGGAGUCCACUCCCGUCGAGAAUGUGCUGGGUUCCCCCUUCGCCCGGAGAGCACCCAGCUCUGAGUCUCAGAUCAUCUGACUGUCCCGCCCAGUACCCCUCCAUGUUGCAGGUUUUUAAAGAUGCCCUGGGUGCCUCUCCCUCAUUACUUAAAGGUUUAAUUUAAACCACGGAUAAUUUCUGCAGAAGACCACUGCAUCACAAGAUAGAGGGAAGAUGGAACCAUGGGUCACUAAUUGGAGAGAGUGAUCAACAGAGCUACGUAUCCAAAAACAUCAACAUUAUUAUGAACAAUAAAUAUAUACUGUAUUAAGCCCCUGAGAUUUGGGGGUUGUUAUAACAUUUAUACUAUCUUACACAUUUUUCUACAUCCUAUUUCCCACCAAGCUGUCAGAAUCAACCUUUUAAAAUAUAGGUCAAAUUAUAUCAUUCUUUUGCUCACUUACCUUAUUCAUUCACACAGGCCUGUUAGCUAUUUCUGGAAUGCACCAGCCACUAUUUUACUUUGGGCCUUUCACUUGCUCUUUCCUAUGCCUGGUGUGCUCUGUCAAGAGAUGAGGGGGCAGGCAUUCAAAGACUAAGGGGUAAUCUCUUAGUAAGGCUUUCCUUGACUUACUUAUUUAAAAUGGGAUCUGAAUGUUAAUCUUGUAUCCUGCUAUCUGGCUGAAUUCUUUUAACAUACAGAAAUCAGUGGCAUUUCUUUACACUAACAAUGAA
Molecule: non-coding RNA, 2301 nt
Organism: Vicugna pacos (alpaca)
Lineage: Eukaryota; Metazoa; Chordata; Mammalia; Artiodactyla; Camelidae
Source: RefSeq, a predicted model, not a curated record